GACUCGGUGGCGGAUGGCCCGCGUCUGCGCGUGCUGGUAAUUACCAAGAAUGGUUGAGCAGAAGGCGCCUGUUCGAAUCAGGGUCGAGUCA
Mycena epipterygia is the source of this 91-nucleotide non-coding RNA. The record is from the annotation of a GenBank genome assembly. NCBI's taxonomy places the organism in Eukaryota, Fungi, Basidiomycota, Agaricomycetes, Agaricales, Mycenaceae.